GCGAUGUAUUGUGUCACUAGGUAAUUAACAAACACAUGUUUGUAUCACGCACCGUGUAUGAUUCACGAUAAUGCACUAUAUGUAUUCACUAUAUUACACGGUAUGUUACACCAUGUUUAGCACAAUAUUUGCUACGACGCACAAACUCACAUAUUUUAAAUGCAUUGUUUAUUGUUUUAAGCACGCUAUUGUCAAGUGCCACUAAUCACCGUUGUAAUUACAUGUUACGUUAACCUAUCCUCUUUUGAGCACCUGCAGUCACUAUACCAGCACCAUUAUGAUGGAGGGAUGCGGCAUCAACAUGUGGCCAACCGACGCCAAGACACGAUAUGGUGGGACAAUAGCGACAUCGGCGAACCACGUCAUAUCGACAGUUACGUAGCUCGCCGCACCAACCAGGAGCCGAGCUCACAAGGAGAGCUACCGCACACACGAUUCUGUGCGAGUCAGUUUACCCUACCCGCAAACGGGGUGCCGACCGCCACGACGACAACCACAACGACGACCGCGACCGCGAGGACAACGACGACGAGGAGGACUUUUACAACUGGGACCCGAAGCCCAGUGGAGCACCGCCAGUGCACACGAGCUACGACGACGACGAUCACGAGACGACGACCACCACAGCGACGACACGGACCCCACACCAACGGACCACGAGGACGACGGCGACUUCGCUAGAUUGUUUAUUAUUAUAUAACAGAAAAUAAUGUUUAAUAGAAGAUAAAGUAAAAUAAAAAUCCAUUGUUAGUUAAAGUAAAUUUUAGUUAAUUUAGUUAAGUAAAUUAAGGUGAAGGUGUUUUAAGUAACAAAAUAAAAAUGAAAUAGCUUAAUGCAUAGCCAUAAAGAAGCAAAACAAGGAAGGAAUAGAUAAUAGAGAAAAGUAAAGUUUAGAUGCACCGAUAAUUUAGUCUUUCCGGUUAUAAAAAAAAGUUAAAAAUAUACGUAUUAAAAGCAAUGCAUCACAACGUUGACAGAAGUUGUUCGCCGCAUUAGUACGGCUCCCAACUUGUCAUAUGGUGAGGGAGUAAUGUAAUACAGAAAUAACGAGAAGAUGAAAACGA
Long non-coding RNA from Priapulus caudatus, 1064 nucleotides. RefSeq lists it as uncharacterized. NCBI's taxonomy places the organism in Eukaryota, Metazoa, Priapulida, Priapulimorpha, Priapulimorphida, Priapulidae. The transcript has 3 exons. The record is from RefSeq and is a predicted model, not a curated record.